AGUGAACGCUGGCGGUAGGCCUAAUACAUGCAAGUCGAACGGCCGCACAGUAAGCGCUUGCCUUUAACGGUGGCGAGUGGCGGAUGGGUGAGGCAUACAUCGGAAUCUACUUUUUCGUGGGGGAUAACGUAGGGCAACUUCCGCUACUACAGCACACGACCUACGGGUGAAUUCUGGAGAUCUUCGUACUUUGCCCGAUUCUAUGAGCCGAUGUCGCAUUAGCUAGUUGGCGUGGUAAAGGCCCACCAAGCCGACGCUCCGUAGCUGGUCUGAGAGGAUGAUCAGCCACACUGGAACUGAGACACGGUCCAGACUCCUACGGGAGGCAGCAGUGGGGAAUAUUGGACAAUGGGCGCAAGCCUGAUCCAGCCAUACCGCGUGGGUGAAGAAGGGUUUCGGGUUGUAAAGCCCUGUUGUUAGGAAAGAAAAGCAGCAUGUGAAUACCCCGCUGUUCUGACGGUACCCAAAGAAUAAGCACCGGCUAACUUCGUG
This 492-nucleotide ribosomal RNA is filed under the name uncultured bacterium. RNAcentral describes it as "partial 16S ribosomal RNA". It matches the Rfam family "Bacterial small subunit ribosomal RNA", at positions 29 to 507 of the family's 1533-position model. The record is from RNAcentral.